UAGGGAAUCUUCGGCAAUGGACGAAAGUCUGACCGAGCAACGCCGCGGGAGUGAAGAAGGUUUUCGGAUCGUAAAACUCUGUUGUUAGAGAAGAACAAGGACGUUAGUAACUGAACGUCCCCUGACGGUAUCUAACCAGAAAGCCACGGCUAACUACGUGCCAGCAGCCGCGGUAAUACGUAGGUGGCAAGCGUUGUCCGGAUUUAUUGGGCGUAAAGCGAGCGCAGGAGGUUUCUUAAGUCUGAUGUGAAAGCCCCCGGCUCAACCGGGGAGGGUCAUUGGAAAAUGGGAGACUUGAGUGCAGAAGAGGGGAGUGGAAUUCCAUGUGUAGCGGUGAAAUGCGUAGAUAUAUGGAGGAACACCAGUGGCGAAGGCGGCUCUCUGGUCUGUAACUGACGCUGAGGCUCGAAAGCGUGGGGAGCAAACAGG
RNAcentral lists this ribosomal RNA (429 nucleotides) under Gemmatimonadota bacterium. RNAcentral's name for it is "Gemmatimonadetes bacterium partial 16S ribosomal RNA". It matches the Rfam family "Bacterial small subunit ribosomal RNA", at positions 355 to 776 of the family's 1533-position model. Lineage: Bacteria; Pseudomonadati; Gemmatimonadota. The record is from RNAcentral.